RNAcentral lists this long non-coding RNA (2916 nucleotides) under Olea europaea (common olive). Its description in RNAcentral is "long non-coding RNA (OEUR_LNC001242)". Lineage: Eukaryota; Viridiplantae; Streptophyta; Magnoliopsida; Lamiales; Oleaceae. The record is from RNAcentral.
GGAUGAGGCACUUAUUAAGACCAUCACAGUCUUUAAGUACAAGAAAGGCGAUGGCCUAAUUGAUGGGGCUGAAUGUGUAGUUUGUUUGAAUGAAUUUCAAGAAAAUGAGUCUCUUAGACUAAUGCCAAAUUGUAUGCAUGGUUUUCACCUUCCUUGUAUCGAUCCAUGGUUGAAAUCUCACCCGAGUUGUCCUAUUUGUCGUGUCGAUGUUAACUUGACCUAUCCGUUGCCUCCACCUGCCCGGAAUUCUCAAACUCCAUCGACUGUCAACGUGGCUUCUCUGGAGAUUCAGAGGCCGGAUGAUUUGAUUUUAGUGGUGGAUGAUCACGAGAGGGAUCGUUCAGAAGAGGUGGUUCCAAGUGUAGUCGAUAAUGAUGUUCGACCGAAGAGCCCCCUGCGAAAUGUUAGUACUGCACAAGAUUCUGAAACAAGAAUUGACAUUAUCGGAACUCCCGAAAAGGAUGUUAAGAAAUUUAGCAGAUCGAUUUCUCCGGGUGCAUUUUCGAGCCAACGCCAGCGCUGAUAUUCCGAGGAUUGAAGAAGCAUAUGAAGGAUUACAAAUGGAAAGUUCCUUAAGAAGAAGAAUAGCAUGGAAUGAGAACUAGCAAGAAGACCUGUUACAAUGAGAAGAUCCAUUUCUACUGGAAGAUUCAUAUUCCAUAAUAAAGGCAAGAAUUCUAUAAUCCCACAUUGAACAUAAAAAUAUUGUAAAGACAAUUUCUUUACUUCAUACCAACUUUACCUCUUUAGUCCUUUAUCUAUUUAUGUUUAGCACAGUAGGAAAGAAACAUGUGAUCUUUGAGUUUGAUACUUGUGAUGCCUAAUAUGGGAUUGAGUGGAAAAUGAAACAGAAUUUGUCAUUUAUUAGUGGAAAAAUUGUGUGAACAACUUGCUUGAAGAAUACCAGAAUGUGCCAGCAAAAAUAGAGGCACCUCGAUCAGUAAGUUAAGUGAUGGCCUCACAAGAAUUACUUAUUUAUAUCUAUUUAUAAAUUAAACCAUGUAAUUCUGCCCAAACGGAGGCUUAACCUUCUAUGGAAAGUAUUGCCAAGACUACUUCAAAAUUUUAGGGGCCAUAUAGAUUAGGCUAUUGUCAAUGCAAAAUGGAAUUUUGAAGUUAUCUAUUUGAAAACAGAUUUAUAUCAUUGUUUUUGGUGCAAGGGUAGAUUAAAUUUGAUAUAUGUGGAUGUGAUUUAGGUACCUCCUUCUACAGUUCAUUAAGUUACAUUUGGUGAUUCUUUUAGUGCACUCUCUCAAGUCAAGCCUUACUUGUGUCGAUAACCUUUUGGAUCGUGGGGGGGGGGGGCGGCAUGGCUAAGAAUAACAAGAUGAGGUCCAUAUUGUUUUCGAAAUGGACAAAGACUUAUCAACUACUACAACUUUACUUCCCUUAACAUCUAAGCUUCCCUUCAUCCACACAAAAAACUUCUCGAAUCUCUUCCCUCUUCUCUCUCUCCCACUAGCCUUACGGGGGGGACGAUGGUUCGUCUCCGUCAUCAAUCAAAAGAAAUCUCAUCUGUCCAUAUUGAGCACGAGGUCUCUCAACUGUCAAAUUGAGAUCAACUCAUCUUUAGUCUUUUUCGACCUUGAGUUGCCACUGACCUUGAGGUCUAGACAAGUCCAACUAGUCAGAUCCUUACCAACUCUUCCACCUUAUAGUCGCACAAAUAAUUCUCUGCAAAUUUUACUGAGAGUACAGAUUUUGGACAUGGGAUCUGUUGGGAAUCAAAAUCUUUCGACUCCUUAUGAUAAUUCUAAGGAGUGUUCACAAGGGAAUUGCAGUAUAAAUUGUCCACGAUGGUGUUACUUUAACUUCCCUCCUCCUCCGUUAGAUGAUGAUUCAGGUACCCAUUUUUCCCCACUAAUCAUCGCCAUCAUAGCAAUCCUGGCAGUUGGUUUCCUUGUAGUAAGCUACUAUAUGAUAGUAAAACGGUAUUGCCGGAGAAGAAAUGAUCCAAACACGAGUAUCGAAACCCAAGAGAUUCUUGAUGGACUGACUCGUGAUCAGAUGGCCGGUGCCUCGACUGGAUUGGAUGAGGCACUUAUUAAGACCAUCACAGUCUUUAAGUACAAGAAAGGCGAUGGCCUAAUUGAUGGGGCUGAAUGUGUAGUUUGUUUGAAUGAAUUUCAAGAAAAUGAGUCUCUUAGACUAAUGCCAAAUUGUAUGCAUGGUUUUCACCUUCCUUGUAUCGAUCCAUGGUUGAAAUCUCACCCGAGUUGUCCUAUUUGUCGUGUCGAUGUUAACUUGACCUAUCCGUUGCCUCCACCUGCCCGGAAUUCUCAAACUCCAUCGACUGUCAACGUGGCUUCUCUGGAGAUUCAGAGGCCGGAUGAUUUGAUUUUAGUGGUGGAUGAUCACGAGAGGGAUCGUUCAGAAGAGGUGGUUCCAAGUGUAGUCGAUAAUGAUGUUCGACCGAAGAGCCCCCUGCGAAAUGUUAGUACUGCACAAGAUUCUGAAACAAGAAUUGACAUUAUCGGAACUCCCGAAAAGGAUGUUAAGAAAUUUAGCAGAUCGAUUUCUCCGGGUGCAUUUUCGAGCCAACGCCAGCGCUGAUAUUCCGAGGAUUGAAGAAGCAUAUGAAGGAUUACAAAUGGAAAGUUCCUUAAGAAGAAGAAUAGCAUGGAAUGAGAACUAGCAAGAAGACCUGUUACAAUGAGAAGAUCCAUUUCUACUGGAAGAUUCAUAUUCCAUAAUAAAGGCAAGAAUUCUAUAAUCCCACAUUGAACAUAAAAAUAUUGUAAAGACAAUUUCUUUACUUCAUACCAACUUUACCUCUUUAGUCCUUUAUCUAUUUAUGUUUAGCACAGUAGGAAAGAAACAUGUGAUCUUUGAGUUUGAUACUUGUGAUGCCUAAUAUGGGAUUGAGUGGAAAAUGAAACAGAAUUUGUCAUUUAUUAGUGGAAAAAUUGUGUGAAC